UACGUAGGGUCCGAGCGUUGUCCGGAAUUAUUGGGCGUAAAGGGCUCGUAGGCGGUCUGUUGCGUCGGGAGUGAAAACUCAGGGCUUAACCCUGAGCCUGCUUCCGAUACGGGCAGACUAGAGGUAUGCAGGGGAGAACGGAAUUCCUGGUGUAGCGGUGAAAUGCGCAGAUAUCAGGAGGAACACCGGUGGCGAAGGCGGUUCUCUGGGCAUUACCUGACGCUGAGGAGCGAAAGUGUGGGGAGCGAACAGG
RNAcentral lists this ribosomal RNA (253 nucleotides) under uncultured bacterium. RNAcentral describes it as "partial 16S ribosomal RNA". It matches the Rfam family "Bacterial small subunit ribosomal RNA", at positions 524 to 776 of the family's 1533-position model. The record is from RNAcentral.